AUUUCAAUGAUGAUCACUUAAACCAUUCACAGACACCAUAUAAAGGUCAAGCGCUGGCAAUCUUCUUCAAUAUUCUUUUGGAGAUAGAGCGUCUUGUUUGACUGGUUAUGGGCCCUGGUUAAAAACUUGGCACUGAGCUU
Molecule: small nucleolar RNA, 140 nt
Organism: Drosophila melanogaster (fruit fly)
Lineage: Eukaryota; Metazoa; Arthropoda; Insecta; Diptera; Drosophilidae
Source: Ensembl